AGCGGCGGACGGGUGAGUAACACGUGGGUAACCUGCCCAAGAGACUGGGAUAACACCUGGAAACAGAUGCUAAUACCGGAUAACAACACUAGACGCAUGUCUAGAGCUUGAAAGAUGGUUCUGCUAUCACUCUUGGAUGGACCUGCGGUGCAUUAGCUAGUUGGUAAGGUAACGGCUUACCAAGGCAAUGAUGCAUAGCCGAGUUGAGAGACUGAUCGGCCACAUUGGGACUGAGACACGGCCCAAACUCCUACGGGAGGCAGCAGUAGGGUAUCUUCCACAAUGGACGAAAGUCUGAUGGAGCAACGCCGCGUGAGUGAAGAAGGGUUUCGGCUCGUAAAGCUCUGUUGGUAGUGAAGAAAGAUAGAGGUAGUAACUGGCCUUUAUUUGACGGUAAUUACUUAGAAAGUCACGGCUAACUACGUGCCAGCAGCCGCGGUAAUACGUAGGUGGCAAGCGUUGUCCGGAUUUAUUGGGCGUAAAGCGAGUGCAGGCGGUUCAAUAAGUCUGAUGUGAAAGCCUUCGGCUCAACCGGAGAAUUGCAUCAGAAACUGUUGAACUUGAGUGCAGAAGAGGAGAGUGGAACUCCAUGUGUAGCGGUGGAAUGCGUAGAUAUAUGGAAGAACACCAGUGGCGAAGGCGGCUCUCUGGUCUGCAACUGACGCUGAGGCUCGAAAGCAUGGGUAGCGAACAGGAUUAGAUACCCUGGUAGUCCAUGCCGUAAACGAUGAGUGCUAAGUGU
RNAcentral lists this ribosomal RNA (742 nucleotides) under uncultured bacterium. Its description in RNAcentral is "bacterial SSU rRNA". It matches the Rfam family "Bacterial small subunit ribosomal RNA", at positions 94 to 823 of the family's 1533-position model. The record is from RNAcentral.